AUCAUUUUGCAUCCACACAAUUCCAUUUAUCAAGUCUGGACAUGGAAUGAUUAGUCUAAUGAAUGUCCAUAGACACAAUUUGAUAUUCAUAAAAUCAAAGCAAACACUGAUGGCUUUUGUAGCAUACAUUAUUUUGGAUGAUUUUGCAACUACCAGGUUAAUUUUCAAUAAAUAACCACAAGUUUUCAGCUAAUACUUAACUCAGAAGAUAAGAAACAAACUUGUGUAUAAAAUUUUAAUCUUUCAGGACAUCUCAUCGGAUCAAAACCAAUAAUACAAGGGUCAGUAUGUGCAAAGGAAAAUCUUCACCAAAUUCUCAACUAGGGGGUACCCUCGCCUUUGCCUUGAUGUAUAGCCUCUAAACAUUCCUUAGCCCUAUGAACCUUUGAUUGGAUGUAAAAGCUUCCGUUUUUGGCAUUCCUCUCAAAUAAAGUGUCAUAUUUCUUCAGUAUCUCCUCCCAAGCAGUUUCCUCAGUUACACCAAGAAUCUGACGGGCUUCUUGCUCCGUCAUUACUUUGCUUCCUCUACGGAUUGUG
Molecule: unclassified non-coding RNA, 537 nt
Filed under: Hevea brasiliensis (rubber tree)
Lineage: Eukaryota; Viridiplantae; Streptophyta; Magnoliopsida; Malpighiales; Euphorbiaceae
Source: RNAcentral